UGCACCUGAUUGUGGGCUCUCUUCUCUCCUCUCCACCCUGCGACCACAACUUUGUCUGCUUCCUGUUUUUAAUAAAUAUCUAUUUUUGUACUAUUUUUAAACAUGUGUGGACUCCAUCUUGUCUGAAGCCGGAGCCAGUUCGUGACACAUGGGGACUUGCCCAAGAUCAAAACCCACAUUUUUGCUGAAGCUAAAGUUUUGUUUUGGCAAAUGGGUGCUCGUGGUUGAUCUUUGUCUGUAUUCUUUGUCUGGUAGGUGAUAAGGAUCAUCAGUUUAGCAUACUUUGGUUAGUUUUCAGAUUGUUGGUCAGUCCCGUCAGAGUGGACUGAAGAUCCAGAACGGUUUGAGACAAACGCUGAACCUCAUCCUCCAAAUGACGAACCUUAUCUGGACCACCAUGUCUCGUCUCCUGCUGGCCUGUUUCCCUGCGCUCUGUCCCUGCAAUAACACAAGAGAUUUUACGAAGACUGGUUUCUACACGUAUAUACACAGCUGCAGUCUUGACCUGUGAAACCAGGGCAACAUCUCCACUCCAGAUCAGUCACUCUCUUGAAGGCAAUCUUCAAGAAAAACUUCACAUCUUUCAGACCAAGGCACUCAGCUCCCACAGAAACAAUAGAUGACCUCACUUCCCUGUAGACCGCUGAUGUCAAGAAAAACAUCUGGAACCUGGAGGAAUGAAACUACGCACAUCUCAGUCUGAUAGCACACAGCAAUGGCUCAACAAUCACAAAAAACGUCAAGCAGAACUGUGGGGAAUUAAUCAACAACUCGGAUGUUCUAUACACUAUCACCAGCAAUUUUCUGUAGAGUGUGACAAAAAUGACGUGAACUUGUUAAAUUUUCUUUGUAAUGAAAAUCAGAGAAAACGCCAGGGGAAAAUCCGAACUAAACUUUGAUAUAUUUGACACACCCAUAAGAUGAGUUAUGAAAAAUAAAAUAAUAAUGAACCCGAACUAAAAAGACUGAGCACUAAGUAAGAAUCAAAGAGUAGAGAUGUGGGUCUGCCACCUGCUUUUCUCCAUAUAUAUAUCAUUAUAUUGCUAUGAGAGGAAUGUUCCACAGUAUGGCAUUUUAAACAAGUAAUGCCACCAGCCAAGGUUAGCAGUCAGAUCUGUGGAGAGGAGAGCCGGCUCGCAGAAAGAAUGCAUGUUUUAACAAUAAAGACACCUAUGAUUAAUGGCAUGCUGUGGGACAUUCUAGAAAAGAGCAGGUGAUGGACCCUCCAUUAGAAUUGUUUAUAGUCAGAACUGUUGCAAAAAGAGCUGAUUAAAAAAAACAAAUCAGCAACAACAAAUCAGCUGACUAAUGUAACAAAAACAAAAUACUUGGGCCAUAUUAUUAGAAAUGACUCCUGUGAUGAUGAUGAUGUCAUCCAGGGUCAGUGUUGCUAACUGUAUUCACAGGUGAAUAUGCUGGAACGCAAAUUCCACAUGUGUACAACUGACAUCAAAACUACUCUUUUUAGAUCAUACUGUACCCCACUGUAUACAGCUCACCUAUGAUGUAAUUACAUCAAAGCAAAAUAUAAAUACGAUUAAGGUGGCAUAUAAUGAUGCUGCUAAAGACUCCAAGGUGGGAAAGUGCUAGUGCUUUGUUUGUGACUGUAAAUAUUCCCACGUUCGAGCUUCUAAUGAGAAACCUCUUGUAUAAAUUUAUGUGUAGGUUAACUGAAUCAAGAAAUGGAAUUAUAACGUGCUUGACUGAUAUUAAGGAAUGUGACACCCAAUAUUAUUCUGUCAUCUGGAUACGUCGGAAGAGCCAGCUAUAUGUAUUUUAAGUCUAUCGGACCUUACAUCAUUAGGUGUAUGUGUGUGUGUGCUGCUGGGU
This is a long non-coding RNA of Boleophthalmus pectinirostris (great blue-spotted mudskipper), 1830 nucleotides long. RefSeq lists it as uncharacterized. NCBI's taxonomy places the organism in Eukaryota, Metazoa, Chordata, Actinopteri, Gobiiformes, Gobiidae. The transcript has 5 exons. The record is from RefSeq and is a predicted model, not a curated record.